This 344-nucleotide long non-coding RNA is filed under the name Trifolium pratense (red clover). RNAcentral's name for it is "long non-coding RNA (TPRA_LNC009712)". The record is from RNAcentral. Lineage: Eukaryota; Viridiplantae; Streptophyta; Magnoliopsida; Fabales; Fabaceae.
AUCGAUCAAGAGAAACAUAAUACGAUUCAAUGACCAGUGUACUGUAAAUAAAUGGUCCUCUGGCAGCUUGUGAAAAUUAACUCUCCACUUCAUGUAUCAAUUUAUGCAAUGAACCAAAAGGCACUAAAAUAAUAAUCAAUGAAUUUUCAAGGCCAAUGAAAAUUUUAAGGUGAAUUUGAACAUGAGCUGCCAAAUAAUUUUUAUCACCUCAUCAUUUCCCCCCUGAUUUUCCACCAUGAAAUAUUCCGAAUUGGCUCUUGCGUUCAACAGAAGAAUGGUAGAAAAUUUGCUAUGCUUUCCAACGAAUCAAAGAUUGCCUCAAUCGGACCUCUACAACUCCAAAU